AUAACGGCCCUUUUGAGGGCCAUCUUAAAAAGGAUUGUUGAUGGAGU
Molecule: non-coding RNA, 47 nt
Organism: Hydatigera taeniaeformis
Lineage: Eukaryota; Metazoa; Platyhelminthes; Cestoda; Cyclophyllidea; Taeniidae
Source: Rfam